UGGCGGACGGGUGAGUAAUGCUUGGGAACAUGCCUUGAGGUGGGGGACAACAGUUGGAAACGACUGCUAAUACCGCAUAAUGUCUACGGACCAAAGGGGGCUUCGGCUCUCGCCUUUAGAUUGGCCCAAGUGGGAUUAGCUAGUUGGUGAGGUAAUGGCUCACCAAGGCGACGAUCCCUAGCUGGUUUGAGAGGAUGAUCAGCCACACUGGGACUGAGACACGGCCCAGACUCCUACGGGAGGCAGCAGUGGGGAAUAUUGCACAAUGGGCGCAAGCCUGAUGCAGCCAUGCCGCGUGUGUGAAGAAGGCCUUCGGGUUGUAAAGCACUUUCAGUCAGGAGGAAAGGUUAGUAGUUAAUACCUGCUAGCUGUGACGUUACUGACAGAAGAAGCACCGGCUAACUCCGUGCCAGCAGCCGCGGUAAUACGGAGGGUGCGAGCGUUAAUCGGAAUUACUGGGCGUAAAGCGUACGCAGGCGGUUUGUUAAGCGAGAUGCGAAAGCCCCGGGCUCAACCUGGGAACUGCAUUUCGAACUGGCAAACUAGAGUGUGAUAGAGGGUGGUAGAAUUUCAGGUGUAGCGGUGAAAUGCGUAGAGAUCUGAAGGAAUACCGAUGGCGAAGGCAGCCACCUGGGUCAACACUGACGCUCAUGUACGAAAGCGUGGGGAGCAAACGGGAUUAGAUACCCCGGUAGUCCACGCCGUAAACGAUGUCUACUAGAAGCUCGGAGCCUCGGUUCUGUUUUUCAAAGCUAACGCAUUAAGUAGACCGCCUG
RNAcentral lists this ribosomal RNA (776 nucleotides) under uncultured Pseudoalteromonas sp. Its description in RNAcentral is "bacterial SSU rRNA". It matches the Rfam family "Bacterial small subunit ribosomal RNA", at positions 96 to 875 of the family's 1533-position model. The record is from RNAcentral. Lineage: Bacteria; Pseudomonadati; Pseudomonadota; Gammaproteobacteria; Alteromonadales; Pseudoalteromonadaceae.